Molecule: ribosomal RNA, 433 nt
Filed under: uncultured bacterium
Lineage: Bacteria
Description: partial 16S ribosomal RNA
Rfam family: Bacterial small subunit ribosomal RNA
Source: RNAcentral
AACGAACGCUGGCGGCAUGCCUAACACAUGCAAGUCGAACGAGACCUUCGGGUCUAGUGGCGCAGGGGUGCGUAACGCGUGGGAACCUGCCCUUAGGUUCGGAAUAACUCCCCGAAAGGGGUGCUAAUACCGGUUAAUGUCUUCGGACCAAAGAUUUAUCGCUUUUGGAUGGGCCCGCGUUGGUUUAGCGAGUUGGUAGGGUAAAAGCCUACCAAGGCGACGAUGCAUAGCUGGUCUGAGAGGAUGAUCAGCCACACUGGGACUGAGACACGGCCCAGACUCCUACGGGAGACAGCAGUAGGGAAUAUUGGACGAUGGGCGAAAGCCUAAUCCAGCAAUGCCGCGUGAGUGAUGAAGGCCUUAGGGUUGUAAAGCUCUUUUACCCGGGAUGAUAAUGACAGUACCGGGAGAAUAAGCACCGGCUAACUCCGUG